CCCGGCACAAGCGGUGGAGUAUGUGGUUUAAUUCGAUGCAACGCGAAGAACCUUACCUGGUCUUGACAUCCCGGAGACCCUUAGGAAACUAGGGGGUGCUUCCAUCUGGAAGAAUCUGGAGACAGGUGCUGCAUGGCUGUCGUCAGCUCGUGUCGUGAGAUGUUGGGUUAAGUCCCGCAACGAGCGCAACCCUUGCCUUUAGUUGCCAGCAGUUCGGCUGGGCACUCUAAAGGGACUGCCGGUGUUAAACCGGAGGAAGGUGGGGAUGACGUCAAGUCCUCAUGGCCUUUAUGACCAGGGCUACACGCGUACUACAAUGGCCGAUACAAAGGGCAGCGACACUGCGAGGUGAAGCCAAUCCCGUAAAAUCGGUCUCAGUCCGGAUUGGAGUCUGCAACUCGACUCCAUGAAGUUGGAAUCGCUAGUAAUCGUGGAUCAGCAUGCCACGGUGAAUACGUUCCCGGGCCUU
Molecule: ribosomal RNA, 469 nt
Filed under: uncultured Desulfobulbus sp.
Lineage: Bacteria; Pseudomonadati; Thermodesulfobacteriota; Desulfobulbia; Desulfobulbales; Desulfobulbaceae
Description: bacterial SSU rRNA
Rfam family: Bacterial small subunit ribosomal RNA
Source: RNAcentral